This 1394-nucleotide long non-coding RNA is filed under the name Helianthus annuus (common sunflower). RNAcentral's name for it is "hypothetical non coding rna". The record is from RNAcentral. Lineage: Eukaryota; Viridiplantae; Streptophyta; Magnoliopsida; Asterales; Asteraceae.
CACACUGUGCGUGUGUGUGGUCGAUCGCACAAGGCAGAGGGAAAGGGGUAAACCCUAAUUCUCAAGAAAUCUCCAAAUUGAAAAGGGAAUUGAAGGUUUUUAGGAUGCAUGUAUCAAGAUUAUCGAUCUCCUAAGUGUUCUUCACUAUCAAGGACGUGUCAAGGAGAGGUCAAGCAUAGGAGGAUAACGGGUCAAGAUAAGGCAAGGUGACAAAUACACUUAAUGGAGUACUCGAGGUAAGUGAAUUUCGAUUCACUUUUUAGUAGGUUUAAUAGAUUUUAAUAUUUAUGUUUACGAAACAUCAUGAAAGAACAUGUAAUAAUCAGAAGUACAAAGCCAAUAAUGCCUCAUUAUUGAGGAAGGUUGUAUUAAGCCGAAAGUAAAUUGGUGGGUUUAAACGGGUCGAAUUUUAUGUGCAUAUGUUGUGUAAUGUAAUGAAAUUCGUUAUGGUUAAGACCUUGGGUAGGAAUUUUUAGUCAUUAUGUAAGGGGAACACUUCCCGGACCAUUAGGAACAAGUUUUAUAUGAUUCGGUUGUCGGUUAGUUAAUGAACGGAUUGUUUCAUGUUAGUGUAGGAAAUUUUAUAAGUAUAUGUGUAUAGGAACCCAAAAGGGCACGUGGGUUGAAUCAUAGAUUGUUUAUACUAUGUAAAGUUGUGAAUGUGACAUUCCGGCAUAAACCGACAUGUAAAAGAAGCUUGUGUAUAUAUUCGUGAUUAAUUGAUUGUGCGUAGGAAGGAACAUUGGCAUGUAUGAAGGUACGCAUGUAUAUGUAAGUGUGUAUAUAUAUAUAUGUAUGUAUGUAUGAUAAUAAGUACGUAGGUGUGAAUGUAUGUGUGAAUGAAUGUUCAAUGCUUAAGACAUAUGCAUGAACGUUAUCAAAGUGUUCGAGUAUUUAUGGUUACUAAUGAUGUGCGUUGAGUUGGAAUGUAAUGUAGGUAUGGGAUCGUUGGCUUCAUGAAGAAAUGGAGCUGGAUUUGGAUAAGAGUAUUUAAGAAAGCGCUUGGACAAUUCCACGACUACUUUAUAGAAUGCUCUACGAAAUUCUAUUAUAUAGUUUAAUGUUGUAUGGUAUGUUAAUGACUAAUGGUUUGGUUGUACGUGGUGUCCACAGGUAUCGCUUGGGUUUUCUCUACAUUUAUUGAAGUGAAGCGGACUUAGUUCGAGUUGAGAGCAAGGAUUGUACGGGGUAGAAUGGUCACAUAGUGUAACUCAUAUAGAUUUUGAAGUAUUUGAACCUUCAUGUGUUUGAUAUGUCUAUUAAAGAACGAAAUUUUUGGGCUCUUGUUUUCCGCUGCGUCGUAUUUUAAGUUAUUAUACGUUAGUCUUACAGGGAAUUGUUCUUAUUACGAAUGGGUCAUGCCCGAAUUUUGUUAAAUAAUAGUAUGAUAAUAU